RNAcentral lists this transfer RNA (69 nucleotides) under Parantica aglea (glassy tiger). Its description in RNAcentral is "tRNA-Gln". The record is from RNAcentral. RNAcentral also lists the same sequence under 4 other names. Lineage: Eukaryota; Metazoa; Arthropoda; Insecta; Lepidoptera; Nymphalidae.
UAUAUUUUAGUGUAAGAAGCACAAUAAUUUUUGAUAUUAUUAGGUAUAGUUUAAUUCUAUAAAAUAUAA